RNAcentral lists this ribosomal RNA (429 nucleotides) under Verrucomicrobiota bacterium. RNAcentral's name for it is "Verrucomicrobia bacterium partial 16S ribosomal RNA". It matches the Rfam family "Bacterial small subunit ribosomal RNA", at positions 355 to 776 of the family's 1533-position model. Lineage: Bacteria; Pseudomonadati; Verrucomicrobiota. The record is from RNAcentral.
UAGGGAAUCUUCCGCAAUGGACGAAAGUCUGACGGAGCAACGCCGCGUGAGUGAAGAAGGAUUUCGGUUCGUAAAACUCUGUUGUUAGGGAAGAAAAAAUGUAUAGUAACUAUAUACAAAAGAGACGGUACCUAACCAGAAAGCCACGGCUAACUACGUGCCAGCAGCCGCGGUAAUACGUAGGUGGCAAGCGUUGUCCGGAAUUAUUGGGCGUAAAGCGCGCGCAGGUGGUUUAGAAAGUCUGAUGUGAAAGCCCACGGCUCAACCGUGGAGGGUCAUUGGAAACUAAUAAACUUGAGUGCAGGAGAGAAAAGUGGAAUUCCUAGUGUAGCGGUGAAAUGCGUAGAGAUUAGGAAGAAUACCGGUGGCGAAGGCGACUUGCUGGACACAAACUGACGCUGAGGAACGAAAGCGUGGGUAGCAAACAGG